This 464-nucleotide ribosomal RNA is filed under the name uncultured Klebsiella sp. RNAcentral's name for it is "bacterial SSU rRNA". It matches the Rfam family "Bacterial small subunit ribosomal RNA", at positions 338 to 795 of the family's 1533-position model. The record is from RNAcentral. Lineage: Bacteria; Pseudomonadati; Pseudomonadota; Gammaproteobacteria; Enterobacterales; Enterobacteriaceae.
CCUACGGGAGGCUGCAGUGGGGAAUAUUGCACAAUGGGCGCAAGCCUGAUGCAGCCAUGCCGCGUGUGUGAAGAAGGCCUUCGGGUUGUAAAGCACUUUCAGCGGGGAGGAAGGCGUUAGGUUAAUAACCUUGGCGAUUGACGUUACCCGCAGAAGAAGCACCGGCUAACUCCGUGCCAGCAGCCGCGGUAAUACGGAGGGUGCAAGCGUUAAUCGGAAUUACUGGGCGUAAAGCGCACGCAGGCGGUCUGUCAAGUCGGAUGUGAAAUCCCCGGGCUCAACCUGGGGACUGCAUUCGAAACUGGCAGGCUAGAGUCUUGUAGAGGGGGGUAGAAUUCCAGGUGUAGCGGUGAAAUGCGUAGAGAUCUGGAGGAAUACCGGUGGCGAAGGCGGCCCCCUGGACAAAGACUGACGCUCAGGUGCGAAAGCGUGGGGAGCAAACAGGAUUAGAUACCCGGGUAGUC